CCUUAACGCCAUAUUUAUUCCCCGUUGCGAUUUUGAUAUAUUGAAUAUGCCACCAAAACGAUCCUCCACGGGUCCUAAAGAGAAGCGAACACGUCAGUCUAAACUCGCCAAAGAGAACGGUAUAACCGGCGAUGAAGAAGCGGAAAUCAAAGAAGCGUUCCAUAUCUUCUCUACAAAACGCGACGACUAUCCUUCAGAGAAGGAAGGCGUAAUUAAAACCCAAGAUGUUCGGCACGCGAUGAUAGCCCUCGGCAUCUCACCCACAGACCAACAAGAACUAGCCUCCAUCCUCUCCGCGGUCGACCCCACCGCCACCGGCUUUGUCCCGUACGAACCAUUCCUCUCCGUCUGCGCAUUGAAGCUGCACUCUCGCGACGAAGACGCCAUCUUUGCUGAAGUCGAGCAUGCGUAUAAACUGUUCACGCGCGGGACCGCGGGGCCCAUAUCUGUGGCACAUUUAAGGAGGGUGGCGAGGGAUUUGAAGGAGGAUGUUAGUGAGGAGCUGUUGAGGGACAUGGUGAGAGAGGCCAACGGUGGGGAUGGAUUGCAUGCCGGUGUCUCGUUGGAGCAGUUUAGGG
Molecule: small RNA, 578 nt
Filed under: Histoplasma capsulatum var. duboisii H88
Lineage: Eukaryota; Fungi; Ascomycota; Eurotiomycetes; Onygenales; Ajellomycetaceae
Description: Histoplasma capsulatum H88 hypothetical RNA
Source: RNAcentral